Molecule: non-coding RNA, 346 nt
Organism: Penaeus vannamei (Pacific white shrimp)
Lineage: Eukaryota; Metazoa; Arthropoda; Malacostraca; Decapoda; Penaeidae
Source: RefSeq, a predicted model, not a curated record
ACGCGGCAGGAUAAGUCAGGUGCUGCGAAGGGGCGGCGGGAGACCUCAGCGCGGCAGUUGAUAGCUAUCCGUCGCUGGCGCUCUUUACUGCGGGGAUAUUUAUUUUAUACAAUUCAGGAUGUCUGCCCUCAGCUACAUCCGCCGCCGAGUGUUUGGCAAGUCUUGGUCGCUUCUUAAGCGCGUGAUUCUCCCAACCCUCGUGCUGCUCUUCGUCGUCAACGCGCUCGUCGGGAAUCGGGAAUCAGUCAAUCAGCCGGAAUAUUCCAACCUCAUCGUUCCAGGCGAAGCGCUCGACCCGAUCAUGGAUAACAAAAUAGAAUUAAAGACCCACAAACACCACGAAGCC